Molecule: ribosomal RNA, 243 nt
Filed under: uncultured bacterium
Lineage: Bacteria
Description: partial 16S ribosomal RNA
Source: RNAcentral
CUGCUGCCUCCCGUAGGAGUCUGGGCCGUAUCUCAGUCCCAAUGUGGCCGGUCAACCUCUCAGUCCAGCUACUGAUCGUCGCCUAGGUGGGCCGUUACCCCGCCUACCAGCUAAUCAGACGCGAGGCCAUCUUCCAGCGAUAAAUCUUUGACAUGUCCGUGAUGCCACGGUCAUGUGUCAUGCGGUAUUAGCAGUCGUUUCCAACUGUUGUCCCCCUCUGGAAGGCAGGUUCCUCACGCGUUA